Molecule: ribosomal RNA, 421 nt
Filed under: uncultured eukaryote
Lineage: Eukaryota
Description: bacterial SSU rRNA
Rfam family: Eukaryotic small subunit ribosomal RNA
Source: RNAcentral
CAAUAGCGUAUAUUAAAGUUGUUGCGGUUAAAAAGCUCGUAGUUGGAUUUCUGCCGAGGACGACCGGUCCGCCCUCUGGGUGAGUAUCUGGCUCGGCCUGGGCAUCUUCUUGGAGAACGUAGCUGCACUUGACUGUGUGGUGCGGUAUCCAGGACUUUUACUUUGAGGAAAUUAGAGUGUUUCAAGCAGGCAUACGCCUUGAAUACAUUAGCAUGGAAUAAUAAGAUAGGACCUCGGUUCUAUUUUGUUGGUUUGCGCACCAAAGUAAUGAUGAACAUGGACAGUUGGGGGUAUUUGUAUUUUCUUGUCAGAGGUGAAAUUCUUAGAUUUUGGAAAGACAAACAAUUGCGAAAGCAUUUACCAAGGAUGUUUUAAUUGAUCAAGAACGAAAGUAUGGGGAUCGAAGAUGAUUAGAUACCAU